GCCUUAACCCCUGCAGGGCCGCCUCGGGGGCCUGAGCGGCGACUGCCCUCUGCCCUUCCUCUAAUGUCGCCAGAAUGUCUCUCCGUGGCCCUUCCCUCCACCUCCGGCCUUGGACGUUACGUCUUUCAAACACCCUCAAGGCGCCCCUCGGAAGCCCCCAGCCCCACGCAUUCCCAGCAGAAGCAAUAAUCGGGGGACUUUUGCACCCGGGGGCACGCCCCUGCCAACACACACACACACACACACACACACCCUGGGGCAUUUCUUCGCACAGUUGCAGGAUGGAUUGUGUUUGCUUCCUCUUCCAGAAAGUCGCCGCGUCCGUCCGACCCCCACUCCACCCUUUCUCUGCUUGGGCGAACACCUGGUGCCCAGAGCCUCCAGGGAGAAGGGGUGGUGUGGUCUGAGUCUGGCUGGACGGAAAGGGGUUGGCCUGGAGACCGGCUGGAGACUACAAGAUCUCCUCCAGGAACCCUGGAGCCGCCCACCCGCCACCGUGUCCAAAGCCCCUCACUGCCUCUGCCGGACCCUCUACCCUCACCAGCAUUUACUCCAGACUCCCAGAAUUGUAACCCAGCUGUGGGGGGUGCCAGUGCCCUUAAGAGCUCAGCAUUUGUGGCUCUCACCCCCGGAGCUGCUCCAACCGGGACUCCAUGAUGUGCGUCUCAGGGGAAAGGGGCUGCUGCAUGGAGAGAGACCCCAGAAUGUGGGUGCUGGAAUCACUCCGGAGGCGCCGGAGCAGGGGUUGAACCAGGGAGGAGUCCUGCCAAGAAGAAGUCACUUGAUGGACCUGGUGAGCUUCAAGAGCCCAGGAUCAAGAUUUUUCCAACCCCAGAAGCAACUGGAUUCCAUGACCAGGAAUUAAGAUCAUCCUCCUAAAUGCUAAGUCUAUCAGGACCAGGGGAGAUAGUGUGUGUGGUUCUGGGGACAGAGCCCAGGGCCUCCCACAUGCCAACCCGCACCCUACCACUGAGCCACACCUCCAGGCCCAUGGAGCCCAUUUCCCAAGUUGAGCUCCCUGGCCCUGUCUUCCUACCACUUGGAGAGGAGGGCUUUUCUCCACCAUCUUGCUCAGCCACAAGGCUUUAAAUGUCACCUACAUGCUAAAGAUGCCCAAAUAUCCCCGUGAGCUCUGAAACA
Molecule: long non-coding RNA, 1140 nt
Organism: Marmota monax (woodchuck)
Lineage: Eukaryota; Metazoa; Chordata; Mammalia; Rodentia; Sciuridae
Exons: 4
Source: RefSeq, a predicted model, not a curated record